Telopea speciosissima is the source of this 103-nucleotide small nucleolar RNA. RefSeq annotates it as small nucleolar RNA snoR97. NCBI's taxonomy places the organism in Eukaryota, Viridiplantae, Streptophyta, Magnoliopsida, Proteales, Proteaceae. The record is from RefSeq and is a predicted model, not a curated record. The transcript has a single exon.
AUUGUAAGAUUGGUAUGUGGCUGAAAAACUCAUAGAUUGGGUGUUGUCAUCAGCUUCUUCUCUUGUUCUUACGAGAUUGGAGUUAAAUAACAGCACUACAUUU